GGACAAUGGGUUGCCAAGCCGCGAGGCGGAGCCAAUCCUAAAAAGCUGGCCUCAGUUCAGAUUGCAGUCUGAAACUCGACUGCAUGAAGUCGGAGUUGCUAGUAAACGCAGGUCAGCUAUACUGCGUUGAAUACGUUCCCGGGGCUU
Molecule: ribosomal RNA, 147 nt
Filed under: uncultured Anaerolineaceae bacterium
Lineage: Bacteria; Bacillati; Chloroflexota; Anaerolineae; Anaerolineales; Anaerolineaceae
Description: partial 16S ribosomal RNA
Rfam family: Bacterial small subunit ribosomal RNA
Source: RNAcentral